Molecule: ribosomal RNA, 365 nt
Filed under: uncultured bacterium
Lineage: Bacteria
Description: bacterial SSU rRNA
Rfam family: Bacterial small subunit ribosomal RNA
Source: RNAcentral
GGAGGAUCCAAGCGUUAUCCGGAAUCAUUGGGUUUAAAGGGUCCGUAGGCGGUUUAAUAAGUCAGUGGUGAAAGCCCAUCGCUCAACGGUGGAACGGCCAUUGAUACUGUUAAACUUGAAUUAUUAGGAAGUAACUAGAAUAUGUAGUGUAGCGGUGAAAUGCUUAGAGAUUACAUGGAAUACCAAUUGCGAAGGCAGGUUACUACUAAUUGAUUGACGCUGAUGGACGAAAGCGUGGGUAGCGAACAGGAUUAGAUACCCUGGUAGUCCACGCCGUAAACGAUGGAUACUAGCUGUUGGGAGCAAUCUCAGUGGCUAAGCGAAAGUGAUAAGUAUCCCACCUGGGGAGUACGUUCGCAAGAAUG